Molecule: ribosomal RNA, 926 nt
Filed under: Pseudomonas brassicacearum
Lineage: Bacteria; Pseudomonadati; Pseudomonadota; Gammaproteobacteria; Pseudomonadales; Pseudomonadaceae
Description: bacterial SSU rRNA
Rfam family: Bacterial small subunit ribosomal RNA
Source: RNAcentral
AUGCAAGUCGAGCGGUAGAGAGGUGCUUGCACCUCUUGAGAGCGGCGGACGGGUGAGUAAAGCCUAGGAAUCUGCCUGGUAGUGGGGGAUAACGCUCGGAAACGGACGCUAAUACCGCAUACGUCCUACGGGAGAAAGCAGGGGACCUUCGGGCCUUGCGCUAUCAGAUGAGCCUAGGUCGGAUUAACUAGUUGGUGAGGUAAUGGCUCACCAAGGCGACGAUCCGUAACUGGUCUGAGAGGAUGAUCAGUCACACUGGAACUGAGACACGGUCCAGACUCCUACGGGAGGCAGCAGUGGGGAAUAUUGGACAAUGGGCGAAAGCCUGAUCCAGCCAUGCCGCGUGUGUGAAGAAGGUCUUCGGAUUGUAAAGCACUUUAAGUUGGGAGGAAGGGCAUUAACCUAAUACGUUAGUGUUUUGACGUUACCGACAGAAUAAGCACCGGCUAACUCUGUGCCAGCAGCCGCGGUAAUACAGAGGGUGCAAGCGUUAAUCGGAAUUACUGGGCGUAAAGCGCGCGUAGGUGGUUCGUUAAGUUGGAUGUGAAAUCCCCGGGCUCAACCUGGGAACUGCAUUCAAAACUGUCGAGCUAGAGUAUGGUAGAGGGUGGUGGAAUUUCCUGUGUAGCGGUGAAAUGCGUAGAUAUAGGAAGGAACACCAGUGGCGAAGGCGACCACCUGGACUGAUACUGACACUGAGGUGCGAAAGCGUGGGGAGCAAACAGGAUUGUAUACCCUGGUAGUCCACGCCGUAAACGAUGUCAACUAGCCGUUGGGAGCCUUGAGCUCUUAUUGGCGCAGCUAACGCAUUAACUUGACCGCCUGGGGAGUACGGCCGCCCGGUGAAAACUCAAAUGAAUUGACGGGGGCCCGCACAAACGGUGGAGCAUGUGGUUUAAUUCGAAGCAACGCGAAGAACCUUACCA